Molecule: transfer RNA, 63 nt
Filed under: Amynthas hupeiensis
Lineage: Eukaryota; Metazoa; Annelida; Clitellata; Crassiclitellata; Megascolecidae
Description: tRNA-Glu
Source: RNAcentral
GUAUGUAUGGUGUAAUUAACACACUAGCUUUUCAUGCUAUAAAUAUAUAAAUAUAUUACAUAC